CAAGCUUGCUUGGUGGAUCAGUGGCGAACGGGUGAGUAACACGUGAGCAACCUGCCCUGGACUCUGGGAUAAGCGCUGGAAACGGCGUCUAAUACUGGAUAUGAGACGUGAUCGCAUGGUCGUGUUUGGAAAGAUUUUUCGGUCUGGGAUGGGCUCGCGGCCUAUCAGCUUGUUGGUGAGGUAAUGGCUCACCAAGGCGUCGACGGGUAGCCGGCCUGAGAGGGUGACCGGCCACACUGGGACUGAGACACGGCCCAGACUCCUACGGGAGGCAGCAGUGGGGAAUAUUGCACAAUGGGCGGAAGCCUGAUGCAGCAACGCCGCGUGAGGGAUGACGGCCUUCGGGUUGUAAACCUCUUUUAGCAGGGAAGAAGCGAAAGUGACGGUACCUGCAGAAAAAGCGCCGGCUAACUACGUGCCAGCAGCCGCGGUAAUACGUAGGGCGCAAGCGUUAUCCGGAAUUAUUGGGCGUAAAGAGCUCGUAGGCGGUUUGUCGCGUCUGCUGUGAAAUCCCGAGGCUCAACCUCGGGCCUGCAGUGGGUACGGGCAGACUAGAGUGCGGUAGGGGAGAUUGGAAUUCCUGGUGUAGCGGUGGAAUGCGCAGAUAUCAGGAGGAACACCGAUGGCGAAGGCAGAUCUCUGGGCCGUAACUGACGCUGAGGAGCGAAAGGGUGGGGAGCAAACAGGCUUAGAUACCCUGGUAGUCCACCCCGUAAACGUUGGGAACUAGUUGUGGGGACCAUUCCACGGUUUCCGUGACGCAGCUAACGCAUUAAGUUCCCCGCCUGGGGAGUACGGCCGCAAGGCUAAAACUCAAAGGAAUUGACGGGGACCCGCACAAGCGGCGGAGCAUGCGGAUUAAUUCGAUGCAACGCGAAGAACCUUACCAAGGCUUGACAUAUACGAGAACGGGCCAGAAAUGGUCAACUCUUUGGACACUCGUAAACAGGUGGUGCAUGGUUGUCGUCAGCUCGUGUCGUGAGAUGUUGGGUUAAGUCCCGCAACGAGCGCAACCCUCGUUCUAUGUUGCCAGCACGUAAUGGUGGGAACUCAUGGGAUACUGCCGGGGUCAACUCGGAGGAAGGUGGGGAUGACGUCAAAUCAUCAUGCCCCUUAUGUCUUGGGCUUCACGCAUGCUACAAUGGCCGGUACAAAGGGCUGCAAUACCGUGAGGUGGAGCGAAUCCCAAAAAGCCGGUCCCAGUUCGGAUUGAGGUCUGCAACUCGACCUCAUGAAGUCGGAGUCGCUAGUAAUCGCAGAUCAGCAACGCUGCGGUGAAUACGUUCCCGGGUCUUGUACACACCGCCCGUCAAGUCAUGAAAGUCGGUAACACCUGAAGCCGGUGGC
This 1347-nucleotide ribosomal RNA is filed under the name Microbacterium sp. NA-S-SYM-2. RNAcentral describes it as "bacterial SSU rRNA". It matches the Rfam family "Bacterial small subunit ribosomal RNA", at positions 75 to 1434 of the family's 1533-position model. Lineage: Bacteria; Bacillati; Actinomycetota; Actinomycetes; Micrococcales; Microbacteriaceae. The record is from RNAcentral.